Molecule: long non-coding RNA, 217 nt
Filed under: Musa acuminata (dwarf banana)
Lineage: Eukaryota; Viridiplantae; Streptophyta; Magnoliopsida; Zingiberales; Musaceae
Description: long non-coding RNA (MACU_LNC005302)
Source: RNAcentral
AUGACCAAGAUUUUCAUCCGAUGCAAAAUUCGAUGCACGCAUGGAAGACCCGCCUCUGCGGUACCAUGGCCUUCACUCCUUGAAUCCAUAGCCCUUCUUGCCGUCGUGUUGUUCACCGAAGUGGAGCUUCCAGUAGCUCCCGAUCAUACCUCCAUAUGAUCUAGUCCCUCCCGGGACUAGGUCGUGUGUAUCGCAUUGCCACGAACUGUUCCACCAC